RNAcentral lists this ribosomal RNA (309 nucleotides) under uncultured bacterium. RNAcentral describes it as "partial 16S ribosomal RNA". It matches the Rfam family "Bacterial small subunit ribosomal RNA", at positions 504 to 807 of the family's 1533-position model. The record is from RNAcentral.
AGAGACAGCAGUCGCCGCGGGAAUACAGAGGGUGCGAGCGUUAAUCGGAUUUACUGGGCGUAAAGCGUGCGUAGGCGGCUUCUUAAGUCGGAUGUGAAAUCCCUGAGCUUAACUUAGGAAUUGCAUUCGAUACUGGGAAGCUAGAGUAUGGGAGAGGAUGGUAGAAUUCCAGGUGUAGCGGUGAAAUGCGUAGAGAUCUGGAGGAAUACCGAUGGCGAAGGCAGCCAUCUGGCCUAAUACUGACGCUGAGGUACGAAAGCAUGGGGAGCAAACAGGAUUAGAUACCCGCGUAGUCCCUGUCUCUUAUAC